AUAUACUUCCUGAAGCCAGCGAUGGCUCGCUAUGGCUAGCAGAGACUUGCAGUCAAAUAUUUUCCCAUCGACGCAUUAAAUUAUAGCACCAACCACUGCCAGGCAACUCUGUUCAGAAUGCAAAUCUCCACAGCUGGCCAGUGCAAGGGUCAUGUGUGUUGACAGAGGAACCUAAUGGCUUGUGUGCGUGCAAAGCAGGAAUCGGUAGCCUUGGUAAGCAAAAACAACUUUCAGUCACAGAGAAAGUGCACUGCUGCUCAUAAAUCUAUUGAAGCCUUGAGUAAACUGCUACACCUUAGGCCCCCAGAUGUUAAGCAAACCUGCAAGGAUGACUUUGCAACAGUGUGAAGCUGGAGUGUGAAAUGACAGAGAGGGAGACUGGAAUGGAGUAUCUUGAAAUAAGGCAUUGACUAGCUUGCAGGCACACUAAACCGAAGCACCUCAUCUGGGAAAAGUAUGUUUCUGUACCACCUUUCUGUUCUACGAAUUAUUUGUAAAUAUUAUGUGCAACAAAUUGAGUCAUAUACUAACAGCAUUGCAAAUCUGUCCUGAAGGAUUGCUAAACCUUUGGGUGUAGGCUGUGUUGGAAUGAAAAACUGUUAAAAUACAAGGUAAAAGUUACAA
Molecule: long non-coding RNA, 624 nt
Organism: Lacerta agilis (Sand lizard)
Lineage: Eukaryota; Metazoa; Chordata; Lepidosauria; Squamata; Lacertidae
Exons: 3
Source: RefSeq, a predicted model, not a curated record